This 224-nucleotide long non-coding RNA is filed under the name Olea europaea (common olive). RNAcentral's name for it is "long non-coding RNA (OEUR_LNC003297)". Lineage: Eukaryota; Viridiplantae; Streptophyta; Magnoliopsida; Lamiales; Oleaceae. The record is from RNAcentral.
AAACAUGACGAAAAGCCCUUAGACAUUUGGUUGAAGAGACUGUACUUCUGAGGCGAGACAAGUAAUCUAGUUUGAUCUUGAGUGUCAAAGCAAUCAAUUCUAGGAGAGCCUUCACUUUUUGAAAUGUAGACUUGUGAUAGUGAUGCUAAAUCCGAACUACGAGAGGAUGAGAACUACAGCUAUAUAAAUUCCUAAUCUUAAAACACAACCCUGGGAUAAUUGAG